AUCAUGACCUUGCUUGCCGCCUCCUAGACCACGGUACCUAUGUGUGUGCGUGCGCGCGUGCGUCUACAAAUACAUACCCAUGCAUGCUCCUCACACACCUUGCCAAGAAAUAGAGAUGAGAGGAUGAGAGGGGCUCGAUCGGGAGAAAGAAGGGGGAAAGAUAUGAAGCUACUUGCUUCUGAGUGGAAUGUUGUCUGGUUCAAGGUCUUGCUUUCCGAUUUGAGGAUGAUCCAUGCUUGCAUGUGUAGUUUUUUUUGUUCCUCAGAUCUACAAGAUCUCGGACCAGGCUUCAUUCCCCUCAGGAAUAGCUUCAAAAUAAUACCGCCGGAGAGUUAUUAGGAGGAGCUGCUAGUACUACAUAAACUUGUGUUCUUGGUCUUUGAUUCUGAAAUAUUUUCUUGGAGUUUUCGUGAGUUUCCUGGUUGUUCUUGUAGUACAGUGGGGAGUACUACUGUGUUUUCCACUCCUAGCUAGCUAGAUCUUACUUUUCCACACAGUGCCUUUUUUUUUGUUUGCUUGCUUGCUGCAGAGAUCGAGGUCGAGGAGCAGCAAGAUUGGUGUAAUGAUGGCCUACUUCCUCUUCUCUUUCUUCUGUGUAUCUGGCAGGUGAUGAAAGUUUUCAUCAUUACAUUUUGAUUGGGAGAAUCUUCGCUCUCUCUCUCUCUCUCUCUCUCUCUCUCCUCUCUAUAUAGCACGUUCUCUAUCUCUUUUCUUCUUCGUAUUCAUUGUUCCUCCUCUCCAUCUCUCUACUAUGCCUGCACGGACUGUUGUUACGGUGCUCACAUGGUUUUGUAGAGCAUGGUAUUUAAACAAGGCUGGUGUAAACUUUAUAU
This 833-nucleotide precursor RNA is filed under the name Zea mays. RNAcentral's name for it is "precursor miRNA zma-miR166b". The stretch from base 178 to 303 matches the Rfam family "mir-166 microRNA precursor family". The record is from RNAcentral. Lineage: Eukaryota; Viridiplantae; Streptophyta; Magnoliopsida; Poales; Poaceae.